RNAcentral lists this long non-coding RNA (485 nucleotides) under Gallus gallus (chicken). Its description in RNAcentral is "lncRNA (ENSGALG00010022155.1)". Lineage: Eukaryota; Metazoa; Chordata; Aves; Galliformes; Phasianidae. The record is from RNAcentral.
CUGUAAGCCUGGAUCUUCAGAGAUGGGAAUAAAAGGAAGAAUUUGAUAAUGGAAUUGGUGGUACUUCCUCUUUUGUGAUUGGCUGUGGAAGAAGCUGCUAUUGCACCAAGUCCCUCCAUCUGUGAGCCCCGUGAGGUGAGUUUCUAAGGCCCUUCUGAAAUCAAGUAGGAGCUAAGGCUACGUUGUUCCACAAAGCAUAGCAUGGGUCUUCUAAGAAGAGCAAAAAGCCCCAAUCCACUGAAGCGCUUAGCCUUGAGUAGUGCCUUGGAGAUCAAUGGGACUGCUUACAGCACCACAGAAGUCUCAAUCCAAUUCUUGAGGAAAUCAAUGGAAGUUUGAUUGGAGCCAUAGAAAGCCAUGAAGGGAAUUUCAAGAGAUAAAAGUCUGGAGCCAGACAUUCAAAAAUAGGUUUUUAAGUAUGUGUCACUGACCUUCCUUAUGGCUUGCAAAUGCAGUCUGAUUACCCCAACUGAGGUUACUUUAAG